Non-coding RNA from Gaertneriomyces semiglobifer, 72 nucleotides. The record is from the annotation of a GenBank genome assembly. Lineage: Eukaryota; Fungi; Chytridiomycota; Chytridiomycetes; Spizellomycetales; Spizellomycetaceae.
GCCCGUAUAGCACAGUGGCAGUGCGUCUCCCUCGUAAGGAGAAGGCCCCAGGUUCAAUCCCUGGUGCGGGCA